Molecule: long non-coding RNA, 774 nt
Organism: Stomoxys calcitrans (stable fly)
Lineage: Eukaryota; Metazoa; Arthropoda; Insecta; Diptera; Muscidae
Exons: 2
Source: RefSeq, a predicted model, not a curated record
ACAUGUGACCGGUGCUGGGCCUUAACGGAGUAAGGGGAAAUGAAAGGGCAGACGAUUUGGCGGUGAAGGCCCGAGGACUGCCGUCAAUAAACUUGGUUAACCCGAAGCCUUUCGGGAAACGCAGUCCGACUUAAGGAGUGGGCGACGAAUGCACAUGCAACAGAGAAACGAUCGGUAGGACGACGAAAAUCCUAUGGUGGGAUCCAGAUCUUGAGAAGACGAGCCUAUUACUGAAAGGAAGUAAGAAGUAGGUCAGUAUAGCUAUUGGUAUCAUAACGGGACACAUAGGACUACGAGCUCACUUAUGUGAAAUCGGUGCGGCAAGUGAUAGAAUGUAUGGGGCAUGCGGGGAAGAUGAUGAGAUGUUGGAGCAUUUCCUUUAUCAUUGCCCGGCUUUCGCGUCUAACAGAUAUCGGCACUUAGGUGGAGACACAAUACCAGACAUGAACCAACUUAGGAGAGUGGUAUUGAAAACAAUUAAGGAUUUUUUUUUAGAGCGCACAACAAGCCGAUUACUGUCAUAGUGACAUGAGGCGGAUUAAUACCUGCACCUUCUUUUCAACCUAACCUAACCUAAGUACAUGUAAGCAAUAUCACUAAUAUUAACAAACACUUCGUUACAAUUAGAAGUUUGGUUGGUGAUCGCAUUAAUCUUACGUAAGAAACGACUUGUUUCGCAGCGACAAUGGUUGUGCUCUUUUUGGGAGUCGUGAAAUGUAAAUUUCCCCUUUAUGAAUAAACAAGUUAUAGCGAAACGAACACUUUUCAUCAAUA